GCUCAUGGUCUGAGCAGGAGAGAGAACAGGAACGAUGCAGAGAAGAUUAGCUUGGCCACUGCGCAAAGGUAACAUGCAAAUUCUUGAAGCGUUCCAUAUUUUU
Small nuclear RNA from Ornithorhynchus anatinus (platypus), 103 nucleotides. The record is from RefSeq and is a predicted model, not a curated record. Lineage: Eukaryota; Metazoa; Chordata; Mammalia; Monotremata; Ornithorhynchidae.